GCCGGGAUGGCGGAAUGGUAGACGCAUUCGACUUAAAAUCGAACGGGCAACCGUGCGGGUUCAAGUCCCGCUCUCGGCACCA
RNAcentral lists this transfer RNA (82 nucleotides) under Deinococcus aerophilus. RNAcentral's name for it is "tRNA-Leu". It matches the Rfam family "tRNA". From Rfam's summary of the family: Transfer RNA (tRNA) molecules are approximately 80 nucleotides in length. Their secondary structure includes four short double-helical elements and three loops (D, anti-codon, and T loops). Further hydrogen bonds mediate the characteristic L-shaped molecular structure. tRNAs have two regions of fundamental functional importance: the anti-codon, which is responsible for specific mRNA codon recognition, and the 3' end, to which the tRNAs corresponding amino acid is attached (by aminoacyl-tRNA synthetases). tRNAs cope with the degeneracy of the genetic code in two manners: having more than one tRNA (with a specific anti-codon) for a particular amino acid; and 'wobble' base-pairing, i.e. permitting non-standard base-pairing at the 3rd anti-codon position. The record is from RNAcentral. Lineage: Bacteria; Thermotogati; Deinococcota; Deinococci; Deinococcales; Deinococcaceae.